CAACCUGCCUGUUACCACGGCACAGCCCGUCGAAAGGCGGAUUAAUGCCGUAUGUGGUCCUUUGCGGGCAUCUAAUUAGGACUAAAGGUUCAGCGGUAACGGAUGGGGAUGCGUCCGAUUAGCUAGACGGCGGGGUAACGGCCCACCGUGGCGACGAUCGGUAGGGGUUCUGAGAGGAAGGUCCCCCACACUGGAACUGAGACACGGUCCAGACUCCUACGGGAGGCAGCAGUGAGGAAUAUUGGUCAAUGGGCGUAAGCCUGAACCAGCCAAGUAGCGUGAGGGAAGACUGCCCUAUGGGUUGUAAACCUCUUUUGUGCGGGGAUAAAGUGAGGGACGUGUCCCUUAUUGCAGGUACCGCACGAAUAAGGACCGGCUAAUUCCGUGCCAGCAGCCGCGGUAAUACGGAAGGUCCGGGCGUUAUCCGGAUUUAUUGGGCUUAAAGGGAGCGCAGGCCGUCCUUUAAGCGUGCUGUGAAAUGCCGCGGCUCAACCGUGGCACUGCAGCGCGAACUGGAGGACUUGAGUACGCACGAGGUAGGCGGAAUUCGUGGUGUAGCGGUGAAAUGCUUAGAUAUCACGAAGAACUCCGAUUG
RNAcentral lists this ribosomal RNA (595 nucleotides) under uncultured Bacteroidota bacterium. RNAcentral's name for it is "bacterial SSU rRNA". It matches the Rfam family "Bacterial small subunit ribosomal RNA", at positions 122 to 715 of the family's 1533-position model. Lineage: Bacteria; Pseudomonadati; Bacteroidota. The record is from RNAcentral.